AUUGAACGCUGGCGGCAUGCCUUACACAUGCAAGUCGAACGGCAGCACGGGAGCAAUCCUGGUGGCGAGUGGCGAACGGGUGAGUAAUAUAUCGGAACGUGCCCAGUCGUGGGGAUAACGUAGCGAAAGCUACGCUAAUACCGCAUACGAUCUAUGGAUGAAAGCGGGGGAUCGCAAGACCUCGCGCGAUUGGAGCGGCCGAUAUCAGAUUAGGUAGUUGGUGAGGUAAAGGCUCACCAAGCCGACGAUCUGUAGCUGGUCUGAGAGGACGACCAGCCACACUGGGACUGAGACACGGGCCCAGACUCCUACGGGAGGCAGCAGUGGGGAAUUUUGGACAAUGGGCGCAAGCCUGAUCCAGCAAUGCCGCGUGCAGGAU
This 379-nucleotide ribosomal RNA is filed under the name uncultured bacterium. Its description in RNAcentral is "bacterial SSU rRNA". It matches the Rfam family "Bacterial small subunit ribosomal RNA", at positions 30 to 409 of the family's 1533-position model. The record is from RNAcentral.